RNAcentral lists this ribosomal RNA (253 nucleotides) under uncultured bacterium. Its description in RNAcentral is "partial 16S ribosomal RNA". It matches the Rfam family "Bacterial small subunit ribosomal RNA", at positions 524 to 776 of the family's 1533-position model. The record is from RNAcentral.
UACGUAGGUGACAAGCGUUGUCCGGAUUUACUGGGCGUAAAGAGCGCGCAGGCGGUCGAUCAAGUCGAGUGUGAAAGCCCCCGGCUCAACUGGGGAGGGUCAUUCGAUACUGAUCGACUCGAAGGCAGGAGAGGGUAGUGGAAUUCCCGGUGUAGUGGUGAAAUGCGUAGAUAUCGGGAGGAACACCUGUGGCGAAGGCGACUACCUGGCCUGUUCUUGACGCUGAGGCGCGAAAGCUAGGGGAGCAAACGGG